RNAcentral lists this ribosomal RNA (468 nucleotides) under uncultured bacterium. Its description in RNAcentral is "partial 16S ribosomal RNA". It matches the Rfam family "Bacterial small subunit ribosomal RNA", at positions 28 to 507 of the family's 1533-position model. The record is from RNAcentral.
GACGAACGCUGGCGGCGUGCUUAACACAUGCAAGUCGAACGGAAAGGCCCUGCUCUUGUGGGGUGCUCGAGUGGCGAACGGGUGAGUAACACGUGAGUAACCUGCCCUUGACUUUGGGAUAACUUCAGGAAACUGGGGCUAAUACCGGAUAGGAGCUACUGCUGCAUGGUGGGGGUUGGAAAGUUUCGGCGGUUGGGGAUGGACUCGCGGCUUAUCAGCUUGUUGGUGGGGUAGUGGCUGACCAAGGCUUUGACGGGUAGCCGGCAUGAGAGGGUGACCGGCCACAUUGGGCCUGAGAUACGGCCCAGACUCCUACGGGAGGCAGCAGUGGGGAAUAUUGCACAAUGGGCGGAAGCCUGAUGCAGCAACGCCGCGUGCGGGAUGACGGCCUUCGGGUUGUAAACCGCUUUCGCCUGUGACGAAGCGUGAGUGACGGUAAUGGGUAAAGAAGCACCGGCUAACUACGUG